GUUCCCUAUCUAGCCAUAGGAUAGGAUCGUGCUCGAUUAUGGUUGUUGGUGAGGUAAAGGCUCACCAAGCCGAUAAUCGAUAGGGGCCGUGAGAGCGGGAGCCCCAAGAUGGGUACUGAGACAGCGACCCAGGCCUUACGAGGCGCAGCAGGUACGAAACCUCCGCAAUACACGAAAGUGUGACGGGGUUACCCAAAGUGUUCUUAUAGAACUGUGGCAGGUGAGUAAUGUCCCCUGCUAGAAAGGAGAGGGCAAGGCUGGUGCCAGCCGCCGCGGUAAAACCAGCUCUUCAAGUGGUCGGGAUAAUUAUUGGGCUUAAAGUGUCCGUAGCCGGUUUAGUAAGUUCCUGGUAAAAUCAGGUAGCUUAACUAUCUGUAUGCUAGGAAUACUGCUAUACUAGAGGGCGGGAGAGGUCUGAGGUACUACAGGGGUAGGGGUGAAAUCUUAUAAUCCUUGUAGGACCACCAGCGGCGAAGGCGUCAGACUGGAACGCGCCUGACGGUGAGGGACGAAAGCCAGGGGAGCGAACCGGAUUAGAUACCCGGGUAGUCCUGGCCGUAAACGAUGCAUACUAGGUGAUGGUACGGCCAUGAGCCGUGUCAGUGCCGUAGGGAAACCGUUAAGUGUGCCGCCUGGGAAGUACGGUCGCAAGGCUAAAACUUAAAGGAAUUGGCGGGGGAGCACCACAAGGGGUGAAGCCUGCGGUUCAAUUGGGAUUCAACGCCGGG
Molecule: ribosomal RNA, 728 nt
Filed under: uncultured archaeon
Lineage: Archaea
Description: bacterial SSU rRNA
Rfam family: Archaeal small subunit ribosomal RNA
Source: RNAcentral